Molecule: ribosomal RNA, 253 nt
Filed under: uncultured bacterium
Lineage: Bacteria
Description: partial 16S ribosomal RNA
Rfam family: Bacterial small subunit ribosomal RNA
Source: RNAcentral
UACAGAGGUCUCAAGCGUUGUUCGGAUUCAUUGGGCGUAAAGGGCUCGUAGGCGGCCAACUAAGUCAUACGUGAAAUCCCUCGGCUUAACCGGGGAACUGCGUCUGAUACUGGAUGGCUUGAGAUUGGGAGAGGGAUGCGGAAUUCCAGGUGUAGCGGUGAAAUGCGUAGAUAUCUGGAGGAACACCGGUGGCGAAGGCGGCAUCCUGGACCAACACUGACGCUGAGGAGCGAAAGCCAGGGGAGCAAACGGG